UCUCAAGCAUAAUAAGGGCAUCUGGUGGAUGCCUUGGCGUCAAGAGGCGAUGAAAGACGUGGCACUCUGCGAUAAGCUACGGUGAGCCGAGAGCAGGCUUUGACCCGUAGAUUUCUGAAUGGGGAAACCCCACCCAAUAGGGUGAUCCUGUCGUGAAUACAUAGCGGCAGGAGGCGAACCCGGUGAACUGAAACAUCUCAGUAACCGGAGGAAAGGACAUCAACCGAGACUUCGCUAGUAGCGGCGAGCGAACGCGAACCAGGCCAGUGGCUUAUGCAUAAGAACCGGAACGAUCUGGAAAGGUCGGCCAUAGUGGGUGAUAGCCCCGUACGGGUAGAAAUUGCAUAAGUCCUCGAGUAGGGCGGGACACGUGAAAUCCUGUCUGAACAUGGGGGGACCACCCUCCAAGCCUAAGUACUCCUUGACGACCGAUAGUGUACCAGUACCGUGAGGGAAAGGUGAAAAGCACCCCGAUAAGGGGAGUGAAAUAGUUCCUGAAACCGGAUGCCUACAAGCAGUUGGAGCCUCUUUAUGGGGUGACAGCGUACCUCUUGCAUAAUGGGUCAGCGAGUUAGUCUUACAAGCAAGCUUAAGCCGAUAGGUGUAGGCGCAGCGAAAGCGAGUCUUAAUAGGGCGAUUGAGUUUGUGGGAUUAGACCCGAAACCAGGUGAUCUAGCCAUGAGCAGGUUGAAGGUGAUGUAACAGUCACUGGAGGACCGAACCCACGUCUGUUGAAAAAGACGGGGAUGACUUGUGGUUAGGGGUGAAAGGCCAAUCAAACCUGGAGAUAGCUGGUUCUCCGCGAAAUCUAUUUAGGUAGAGCGUCAGACGAAUACCAUCGGGGGUAGAGCACUGAAUGGGCUAGGGGGCCUUACCGGCUUACCAAACCUAAUCAAACUCCGAAUACCGAUGAGUACUAUCUGGCAGACAGACUACGGGUGCUAAGGUCCGUGGUCGAGAGGGAAACAGCCCAGACCGCCAGUUAAGGUCCCAAAGUUGUGGCUAAGUGGGAAAGGAUGUAGGACGGCCAAGACAACCAGGACGUUGGCUUAGAAGCAGCCAUCGUUUAAAGAAAGCGUAACAGCUCACUGGUCUAAAUAAGCUGUCCCGCGCCGAAGAUGUACCGGGGCUCAAGCCACACACCGAAACUGCGGACUUGUUCUUUGAACAAGUGGUAGCGGAGCGUUCCGUAAGCCUGUGAAGGUGUGCCGUAAGGCAUGCUGGAGGUAUCGGAAGCGAGAAUGCUGACAUGAGUAGCGAUAAAGGGAGUGAGAACCUCCCUCGCCGAAAGCCCAAGGGUUCCUGCGCAAGGCCAAUCCGCGCAGGGUGAGUCGGCCCCUAAGACGAGGCAGAAAUGCGUAGUCGAUGGGAAACAGGUUAAUAUUCCUGUACCCGUGAGAAGUGACGGCCUCUGGAAGUAGUUUUUCCUUAUUGGAUUGGAGAAGCUGCCAAGGAGGUCCAGGAAAUAACUCUCACAUAUGGACCGUACCCCAAACCGACACAGGUGGGCAGGUUGAAUAUACCAAGGCGCUUGAGAGAAUGGUGUUGAAGGAACUCGGCAAAUUGCCCCCGUAACUUCGGGAGAAGGGGGCCCACCGUGAAGGCAACUUUACGGUGGGGGCACAGACUAGGGGGUGGCGACUGUUUACUAAAAACACAGGGCUCUGCGAAGUCGCAAGACGACGUAUAGGGUCUGACGCCUGCCCGGUGCCGGAAGGUUAAGAGGAGAUGUGCAAGCAUUGAAUUGAAGCCCCGGUAAACGGCGGCCGUAACUAUAACGGUCCUAAGGUAGCGAAAUUCCUUGUCGGGUAAGUUCCGACCUGCACGAAUGGCGUAACGACUUCCCCACUGUCUCCAACACCAACUCAGCGAAAUUGAAUUCUCCGUGAAGAUGCGGAGUACCCGCGGUCAGACGGAAAGACCCCGUGCACCUUUACUACAGCUUUGCAGUGGUAUCAGGAUGUGAAUGUGCAGAAUAGGUGGGAGGCUUUGAAGCCAUGGCGCCAGCCAUGGUGGAGCCACCUUUGAGAUACCACCCUUUUGCUUCCUGAUAUCUAACCGAGGUCCGUUAUCCGGAUCCGGGACCCUGCAUGGCGGGUAGUUUGACUGGGGCGGUCGCCUCCCAAAGAGUAACGGAGGCGCGCGAUGGUAGGCUCAGGCUGGUCGGACAUCAGCUUAAGAGUGCAAUGGCAAAAGCCUGCCUGACUGCGAGACUGACAAGUCGAGCAGAGACGAAAGUCGGUCAUAGUGAUCCGGUGGUCCCGCGUGGAAGGGCCAUCGCUCAACGGAUAAAAGGUACGCCGGGAUAACAGGCUGAUACUCCCCAAGAGUCCACAUCGACGGGAGUGUUUGGCACCUCGAUGUCGGCUCAUCACAUCCUGGGGCUGGAGCAGGUCCCAAGGGUUUGGCUGUUCGCCAAUUAAAGUGGUACGUGAGCUGGGUUUAGAACGUCGUGAGACAGUUCGGUCCCUAUCUGCCGUGGGCGUAGGAUACUUGAGAAGAGCUGUCCCUAGUACGAGAGGACCGGGAUGGACGCACCUCUGGUGUACCGGUUGUUCCGCCAGGAGCAUCGCCGGGUAGCUAAGUGCGGAAGGGAUAACCGCUGAAAGCAUCUAAGCGGGAAGCCCCCUUCAAGACUAGGUAUCCCUAUCAGAUCCCUGGAAGACCACCAGGUUGAUAGGCUGGGUGUGGAAGCGUGGCAACACGUGAAGCUAACCAGUACUAAUUGAUCGAUCGGCUUGAUUGA
Molecule: ribosomal RNA, 2746 nt
Filed under: Thalassospira sp. A40-3
Lineage: Bacteria; Pseudomonadati; Pseudomonadota; Alphaproteobacteria; Rhodospirillales; Thalassospiraceae
Description: 23S ribosomal RNA
Rfam family: Bacterial large subunit ribosomal RNA
Source: RNAcentral